RNAcentral lists this ribosomal RNA (253 nucleotides) under uncultured bacterium. Its description in RNAcentral is "partial 16S ribosomal RNA". It matches the Rfam family "Bacterial small subunit ribosomal RNA", at positions 524 to 776 of the family's 1533-position model. The record is from RNAcentral.
UACGUAGGGGGCAAGCGUUGUCCGGAAUUAUUGGGCGUAAAGAGCGUGUAGGCGGCCAGAUAAGUCCGCUGUGAAAUCUCGAGGCUCAACUUCGAGCUGUCGGUGGAAACUGUCUGGCUAGAGUCCGGAAGAGGAGAAUGGAAUUCCCGGUGUAGCGGUGAAAUGCGCAGAUAUCGGGAAGAACACCCGUGGCGAAGGCGGUUCUCUGGGACGGUACUGACGCUGAGGAGCGAAAGCGUGGGGAGCGAACAGG